Long non-coding RNA from Triticum aestivum (bread wheat), 3590 nucleotides. RefSeq lists it as uncharacterized. The record is from RefSeq and is a predicted model, not a curated record. The transcript has 3 exons. Lineage: Eukaryota; Viridiplantae; Streptophyta; Magnoliopsida; Poales; Poaceae.
AAUAGCGCAGCCACCCGCAGUCCUGCACGACCUUGCCUCCUCGAUCCCAUCUCGACAUCCAUCCCGCCGCCACCACCUGCCCCGCCCCGCCGUGCGCCGCCCGCCGUCACCGCGCCUGCGCCGCCCGCCGCAUCUGCGCCUGCGCCGACGUCCCCUGUAUCCAUGCUCCACUGUCCGAAUCCCGCCGACGCGCCCGUCCCGCUCACCGUGGCCGAUGAUCGUUUCCCUCCCCAAACGACAGCCAUAAUGAAGGGCGUCGCCCAGCUCCUAACCGGCGGAUGGACUUGCCGGGUCCCCGCUCCUCGGGGCCAGCCCCUCCUCCGUGGAUCGCGCAUCGGCUUGGAGGCCCCUCGGGGCUGCCGCCGGUGCGGGAGUCCUACGCGGCCGUGCGGGCUGGGGACCGAGCGGCGGGGCCCGUGUGCGUUCCCGGCGAAGGCUUGCUGGGGUUGGCCGGGAUCUGAGGAUGGUUGAUAUGUUCAUGUCCAUGAUGCAGUUCCACCUCUCUCCGUAGCACAAAACUUUUCUUGCCACACAUUAUGCAAGUCAUCCUCAUUGAUCAUACAUUUAUAAUUUCUUCACGGUUCAGUAUAUCACAUAUAUUAGGAUGUUAACGCCACUCAUGGGUUGGAUGCUAUAGCAUAAGGAAAAUUGAUAGCCAGCCAUGAUCGUCCAUCCAUCAAUUUAGUUUGCUUUUUCUUCUGUUGUUAGUUUCUACUACUUUGAUAGCUAAGUGAUGUCUACCUGAAGCUGUGAACCUUAUGAACCCUGAUCUGAAUCUUGGUGUUUGCGAAUUCUGAAUGAAGGGCAUGCAACCAGUCCUUCUAAAUGAAUUUGUCGAUGAGUGUGUUGCAUUGUUGAUUUCAUGGUUAUUCUUCAUUUUGGAUGCAUGGCUAUUCUUGGGUUUGAGCCAUAGGCAUGCAGCAAUGAAAUCUAAUUGCAUUGAUGCCGAGAGGCGAGAGGAAAGUUCUCGCCUUGGGAUGGAUCCAGGUCAGGGAGGAUUGGAGAUUGAAUGAAUUUGCUGGGCUUUUUUUCAUUCUACCUGGGUUGAAUACUUUAUUGAAAACCAUACACAUCAAUUUUGUACAGGAAUCUUAUCCCAAUAUUUUUGACCACUACUGUACUUCGAUUUCGACAACAAAAGUUGUUUCAGUUUGCUAUGUGUCAGUUCACCAACAGGAGAGAAACCAUGCAACUUGGAACAUUAAAAGCUCAAGAUCGGCAACACCACCAUCAUGCAUCAUCCAAGCUGCUGUCCAGCUACCUUUGACACCUGCCGAGAGAGCAUCUAUCACGAUGAUCAUGAGAGAGCAGGUUAGGCAUGUUAUCACUUAUCAGCACGAUUUUGAAUGUAUCGGUUUGACAUAAUGCCUGGCCAUGGUGCCAUGUACAAGUCACAACAGUGGCAUGCCAAGUUGCAUAUAAUGCAAUUUUUAUUCUACUUUCACAAAUUUGGUAUCUCUAGCACUCCUGAUUAGCCCUGGGAGAAGGUGGAUUUGCAAUUUACAUGGCUUUACCUAUUUCUUGAACUGAAUAGGGCGAAUUGUAGCAAAAACGUGAACACUAAUGUGUUCAUGAUGGUAUUGCCUACAUUAUGUAUGUUUUUGCCAUUGUAAAAGUUAUCUGUCACAAAAAAUAAAACACAUGGUUUCUUAGUUGCCAGUCUAUAUCUCAAAUGCGGACUUUUAUGUUUUGAUAAAUGCAUUGUCGUUCAUAAUUAUCCUUUCUAGGUAAGCUCCUUAAUUUUUAAGCUAACAAAGCAGAAAAUGUCUAUUGCUCAGGUGUAACGCCCCGAGACCGACGCUCCAGACGCUUUCCAUGUUUUGCUUUGUUGCCGCGUGUUAUUUUUGUUUGUUGCAUUUCAUCAUAGCAUCAUGCACUUUGCAUCUGCAUGUUCUCAUAAAGUUUGCAUUCGUUCGUAGUUGCCGCGUCCCUCCUCGCCUCCGUUGACCUUUCUCAGUCCAACCGUUCUUUGUUGUCCGACCGUCUGAGCCUCUCUGCACAAUGCACAAAACCCCUUCUCGCGCGCGUCCGAAAGUUGUCCCGUACCUGACCCGGUUUGUUGUUACCAUUGGGUCCGGAUCAUCCCCUAACAUCUAUAAAACAUCUCCGUUUUGUUAUUUGGACUCCCUACCUAUUUUUCUCAGCCGUUCGAUUAUGAUCGUAGGGAUGAGGUAUCCCCUAACCUAAAUUCAUCUGAUAUAAAUAUCAUUAUAACCCUAGAUCCUAGGGGCUUGUCCCAUCAUUCCCUCCUAGCCGCCGCCACUCUCUCCCAAAUCCUUCUCGGGAUCCCUCCCAGACAGACCCGCGGCCUCCAAUCCACCUCGUCUUCUGCACCCAACCAACCAGCGCCGCUCGUCGUUCUCCUUGCGCUCGACUCCCUCAGCCACGAGCUCGAUCAGGAGAGGAGCUCCCGAUCGUGCGUGCCUCUGCCUCGUUUCUGACCAUCGCCGACGCUGCCGGCGCCCACCACCAGGGGCACAAGCAUCUGGCACGCCUCUUCGCUUCCUCCAUCCAUGGAGACAAGCUCCUCCCGAACCAGGCUGUGCCCCUGUUUCCUUCUCUCUCCCUCGAGUUCUUUCUCUCUGGUUCCUCAAGUUCCCUUUCUUCUCUCUGUUCCACAGGACGCCAUGGAUGCAACAGCUCGACCCCGCCGCGGCCUCAAGUCCUCUGCUCCAGUCAUCAUCGCCGGAUCGCGCCACCAUAGAGCCGCAGUCGAGCCCCAUGGCGCCCGUUGUCAGUGACCCCGAGCGCGUCUGAGAUGCCCUUCCUCCGCUGGCCUCCUUCGAGCGCCGCCCCUUCCUCCUCUACUCCAACCCACGCCUCCGGCGGCCUCCUCCUCGACGCCUAGGUGAGCAGCAGCUCCACCGGCGGCCACCUCUAGCAGGCCCGUGCCGCGCCUCCUUCCCUUCCCUCUCCCUCACUCUCUCUGCCUGACGCUCCUGACCGAUCGCUCGCCGCCGUCCGUCAAGCCUCUGCGCCGCCGCGCCAAGUCCCCUGUGUCGAGCCGCCGCAUCCGCCGCUGCGGUCCCGCCGUGCUGCGCCCCUGCUUCGUCUCGCUGAUGGUGGAGCAGCGAGCCAGCGCCCGCAACCUUUGCCCCGCUCGCUCGUGUUGACCCCGCCCCAGUUCGCGUGGACCGGUCAACUCCGUCCCCUGGGCCGGCCCUUCUCCUCCUCUGCUUCCAGCCGGGCCUUGGCCCAUGGUGAGAAGCCCCUCCAGCCCCUCUCUUGUACGCUGUUGGUCCAUCAGUUUCGGCCCGUGCAUGUUUUUUUCCCUUGCUGCGAAUUUAUCUAAUUAUCCAGUAAACUGCAUGUUUACAGAUUGCACCCUCAUGUUCAUGCAUAUCAUAACUCACAAAUGGUGCAUCGGAUUAAAAUGAUUUAAAUAUGUAAAGUGCUUAGAAUUUUGUCUAGUUUCAUAAUAUGCCACUUUCAUCCAUGUUUAAAAUGUUUAACCUUGCUGUUUGUUUGAUUUUGCGUAAAUGCCAUGUUAAAAUGAUUUAUUUCAUAACUAAUUAACCGUAGAUCCGAAUUUAAUAAACUUUAUAUGUAAAUGGGGUAGAAAAAUGCCUAGUUUAACAUGGUACACUUUA